Molecule: long non-coding RNA, 1764 nt
Filed under: Sorghum bicolor (sorghum)
Lineage: Eukaryota; Viridiplantae; Streptophyta; Magnoliopsida; Poales; Poaceae
Description: long non-coding RNA (SBIC_LNC008957)
Source: RNAcentral
UAGACCAUGCAUUGCAACGAGAUGCCAAAAUAUUUUAUGAGAUAAUAUGUCCUGUAGAUUAACAUCAAAUUACCCAUCAUGAGUACAAUGCGGCUCAAGUUUAAUCAAAACUAAGAUACAGAUAUUUUGGCUAGGUGGUCAUGAGCACAAGUUUGUUUGACAAUGCUAGGAGAUUCUUAAAAUUAGUACCCCUAUUAUGUCGCUGGAAUGCACCACCUGGAAAAAGGAGAAAAUAUCAGCCUGAUGUGCAGAUAUCAGAAGACACAUAUCUUCCCGAAGGCCGUUGGCACUGAUGAUUCUAGAAAAUUGAGGCUGAACAUGCUGUAAACUUAUCUAGAAUAUAUCAGCAUGUCUGGUUAACUAUUCAUAUGUCAGCAUGCAUGUAUAGCUAUAUAAAAAAAAGACAGUUGUCUAGCACACAAAACAAUAUCAUUUUACUUUUAGGAUUGCAUCAAAUCCUAAAAGAAUCCUAAAAGGGCAUAAUUUCAAUCACUUUACCAGUUUGCAGUACCUAUAAAAUGAGCUCCUUCUUUAGACUCAAUACAAGUGGCAUACCUUUUCUGAACUGAAGAUCUCAAAGUGAUUAAAUGGCUUGUUUGUCAAAAGCAAACUUUAAACCAUUUUCCAAACAUAAACCUAGGAGAGCUCCAAAUCUGUUAACAUAUAACUGUUAUUCAUGGAAAAUAUAUAUGGAAAAAAAUCAAAGCCAAAAAAUGUGACCGAUGUACUUAAUUAGAUAGCCAACUCAUAAAUACUUACAAAUCGGUGACAUUGAGGUUCUUCCAAAGCGUUGUAUCAGAAUUAGAUAUGUCAGCUAGCUUAACUGCAAUUGAGACAUAUUAAUGUCAGCCAUUUGCACUAAAUAGAGAAGAAUCAGAUAAGGGCAAGAGAGUUCCUAAAAUAACGAGUAAGUAAAAAUGGGACAGAAAACUGAUUUCUUUCAGCUAGCUAUUAGUCACCCAUACAGUCAGAGACUUCGGUCCCAAGCAGGCAAGAGCCCUGUCCAACCAGUCCUUGGUGGCGGCGUUCCGGCUCCCUGCUAGCUUGGUCAGGCAUGACAAACUUGGAACUGUGUAGGAAUUGUUACAUAGGUCGGUUUGCUUUAGACAAAUAUACUUAAUUGUUAAAAAAUCAUAUAGGUUAAUCUUAUUUUGAAUUCUGUGCAUUAGGUACUGAUCGAUUUCAGAAACCAAUUUGUAAGUUGGACUGAUGGGUAUGGUAAUCUACAGAAUAACAUAAUAGCUUUACUGCAUGUUUUAGUACUCUGCUCUUAUUUUUUUUAGCCUUUUCAACUUAUGUCACAAUAAAGUUGUUUAAUUAUUCCAUUGUGAUAUGGAUUAACACAUUUAUAAACCUGAUAUCACAUAAAUACCCUCACAUGAUCAACUAAAUGAUCUGAUGUCAAAUUUGAUCUUUGCCUAAAUAUAUCGCUGGUAACCACUAUCUCAUGCCUUCUAGAUAGACACGUGGCAUCUUUAAGCCAUCCCAACCAUUACAGAAAUAAACACAUGAUUACUAAAGAUAUUGAUCAUCACUAUUUCUAUAAUUUCAUGACCACACCCAAAGUGUUUACUUUUAUUUAAGUAUGAUAUACUCAAGAAAUAAAGACUCAUACAUUAAGAUCAAUAACCAUCUUGGCACUAAGGACCCUGGCCAGUUCUCCAUGGGUUUGCUAAGAAUCCACAUUAAGAAGCAGAACAGCAGAAUCAUGUACAUAGAAAAGGGUAGUCAGUUUCAUUUAGGAAAAAAUAAAAAUCACCCAUG